Sinocyclocheilus grahami is the source of this 460-nucleotide long non-coding RNA. RefSeq lists it as uncharacterized. Lineage: Eukaryota; Metazoa; Chordata; Actinopteri; Cypriniformes; Cyprinidae. The transcript has 3 exons. The record is from RefSeq and is a predicted model, not a curated record.
GAAAGACCAAAAGACACUGAGGAUGGACCCCAAUCCCCCAGCAGCCACCUGGAGUAAAGAGCCUUGCUGAAGGACACAGCGGUGGUGACGACUGCAGAGAUCGAACCAGUAACCUUCUGCUGACCAGUGCAGUGUUUUAGCCCACUACACCACAAAAUCGUGCUCAUGGAGAGCAGGCACAUGAAUGUUUGGAGCAGACACAGCAGCAGCCAGAUUGUCCCGCAUGUGUUCACCUGCUCUUGCUUCAAGAUUGUGUGGUACAGGGGGCCUCAUCCUCUCUGUGCACUCAGGCAAUGAUAGCCUCGAUGUCCCUUUCUCUUCCAUGAUCAGAUUCAGUCUGACUGCAGCAGUGAGGGUCGUGAUGGAGGGCAGAGACAGGUGAAGGUGGACACAGUGGUAAGCUGCUUCAUCAGAAUAAAGCUGCAGAACUGUCUCAGCUGUGUUAAGAUGCAGUAGAUGU